GUCCACGCCCUAACGAUGACGACUAGAUGUCGGAGGGUCUGCCUUUCGGUGUCGUAGCUAACGCGUUAAGUCGUCCGCCUGGGGAGUACGGCCGCAAGGUUGAAACUCAAAGGAAUUGACGGGACCCGCACAAGCGGUGGAGCAUGUGGUUCAAUUCGAUGCAACGCGAAGAACCUUACCUGGCCUUGACAUCCGCGGAACUUGGCAGAAAUGCCUUGGUGCCUUCGGGAAUCGCGAGACAGGUGCUGCAUGGCUGUCGU
Molecule: ribosomal RNA, 260 nt
Filed under: uncultured bacterium
Lineage: Bacteria
Description: partial 16S ribosomal RNA
Rfam family: Bacterial small subunit ribosomal RNA
Source: RNAcentral